This 222-nucleotide ribosomal RNA is filed under the name Bathyeurystomina sp. 1 LM-2017. RNAcentral's name for it is "partial small subunit ribosomal RNA". It matches the Rfam family "Eukaryotic small subunit ribosomal RNA", at positions 156 to 422 of the family's 1831-position model. The record is from RNAcentral. Lineage: Eukaryota; Metazoa; Nematoda; Enoplea; Enoplida; Enchelidiidae.
UUCUACAGCUAAUACAUCAAAACCCCGACUUGCGUUUGUUACUUCAAAAGUGAGAUUGAACAAUUUAGCUGAUCGAACAUGUACCGGCGACAUAUCCUUCAAACGUCUGCCUUAUCAACUUUCGAUGGUAGUUUAUAUGACUACCAUGGUUGUUACGGGUAACGGAGAAUCAGGGUUUGAUUCCGGAGAGGGAGCCUGAGAAAUGGCUACCACAUCCAAGGA